Molecule: ribosomal RNA, 429 nt
Filed under: Bacteroidota bacterium
Lineage: Bacteria; Pseudomonadati; Bacteroidota
Description: Bacteroidetes bacterium partial 16S ribosomal RNA
Rfam family: Bacterial small subunit ribosomal RNA
Source: RNAcentral
UAGGGAAUCUUCCGCAAUGGGCGAAAGCUUGACGGAGCAACGCCGCGUGAGUGAUGAAGGUCUUCGGAUCGUAAAACUCUGUUAUUAGGGAAGAACAAAUGUGUAAGUAACUAUGCACGUCUUGACGGUACCUAAUCAGAAAGCCACGGCUAACUACGUGCCAGCAGCCGCGGUAAUACGUAGGUGGCAAGCGUUAUCCGGAAUUAUUGGGCGUAAAGCGCGCGUAGGCGGUUUUUUAAGUCUGAUGUGAAAGCCCCCGGCUCAACCGGGGAGGGUCAUUGGAAACUGGUUGGCUUGAGUGCAGGAGAGGUGAGUGGAAUUCCAUGUGUAGCGGUGAAAUGCGCAGAGAUAUGAAGGAACACCAGUGGCGAAGGCGACUUUCUGGUCUGUAACUGAAGCUGAUGUGCGAAAGCGUGGGGAUCAAACAGG